GGGGGGGGGGGGGGGGGGGGGGGGGGGGGGGGGGGCGGGGGGGGGGGGGGGGGGCGGGGUCGGCUGGCGUUGGCGGCGGGCGGGUGGGUGGCACGUGGAUCACCUCCCUGUAAGACUGGGAUACCUGCGGGAAACCGGCGCUCAUACCGGAUAAUAUAUUGCACCGCCUGGUUCACUAGUGCCCGACGGUUUUGCUGUCACUUCUCGAUGGCUCCGCGCCGCAUUAGCUAGUUGGUAAGGUAACGGCUUACCAAGGCAACGAUGCGUAGCCGACCUGAGAGGGUGAGCGGCCACAAUGGAACUGAGACACGGUCCAGACUCCUACGGGAGGCAGCAGUAGGGAAGCUUCCGCAAUGGGCGAAAGCCUGACGGAGCAACGCCGCGUGAGUGAUGAAGGUCUUCGGAUCGUAAAACUCUGUUAUUAGGGAAGAACAAAUGUGUAAGUAACUAUGCACGUCUUGACGGUACCUAAUCAGAAAGCCACGGCUAACUACGUG
RNAcentral lists this ribosomal RNA (497 nucleotides) under uncultured bacterium. RNAcentral's name for it is "partial 16S ribosomal RNA". It matches the Rfam family "Bacterial small subunit ribosomal RNA", at positions 27 to 507 of the family's 1533-position model. The record is from RNAcentral.